CAGAGAUGGUUCUUUCAGUUCGGCUGGAUCGCACACAGGUGCUGCAUGGCUGUCGUCAGCUCGUGUCGUGAGAUGUUCGGUUAAGUCCGGCAACGAGCGCAACCCACACUCUUAGUUGCCAUCAUUCAGUUGGGCACUCUAGGAGAACUGCCGGUGAUAAGCCGGAGGAAGGUGUGGAUGACGUCAAGUCCUCAUGGCCCUUACGGGUUGGGCUACACACGUGCUACAAUGGUGGUGACAAUGGGUUAAUCCCAAAAAGCCAUCUCAGUUCGGAUUGGGGUCUGCAACUCGACCCCAUGAAGUCGGAAUCGCUAGUAAUCGCGUAACAGCAUGACGCGGUGAAUACGUUCCCGGGCCUUGUACACACCGCCCGUCACACCAUGGGAAUUGGGCUACCCGAAGGCGGUGCGCCAACCAGCAAUGGAGGCAGCCGACCACGGAGGCUCAGUGAUCUGGGGUGAAGGUAACAAGGUAACAAUCU
Molecule: ribosomal RNA, 481 nt
Filed under: uncultured Alphaproteobacteria bacterium
Lineage: Bacteria; Pseudomonadati; Pseudomonadota; Alphaproteobacteria
Description: bacterial SSU rRNA
Rfam family: Bacterial small subunit ribosomal RNA
Source: RNAcentral